ACGCUCGACACCUACGGGGNGAGCAGUGGGGGAUAUUGCACAAUGGGGGAAACCCUGAUGCAGCAACGCCGCGUGAGGGAAGAAGGUUUUCGGAUUGUAAACCUCUGUCCCCGGGGAAGAUAAUGACGGUACCCGGGGAGGAAGCUCCGGCUAACUACGUGCCGGCAGCCGCGGUAAUCUGAGCGGGCUGGCAAGGC
This 197-nucleotide ribosomal RNA is filed under the name uncultured bacterium. RNAcentral describes it as "partial 16S ribosomal RNA". It matches the Rfam family "Bacterial small subunit ribosomal RNA", at positions 328 to 539 of the family's 1533-position model. The record is from RNAcentral.